Molecule: non-coding RNA, 45 nt
Organism: Echinostoma caproni
Lineage: Eukaryota; Metazoa; Platyhelminthes; Trematoda; Plagiorchiida; Echinostomatidae
Source: Rfam
GCACUGCUGACGAGUACCAAACAGGACGAAACAGCUGUCCAGUGC